UCCUGUUCGGAGGUUUGUCAUCCUUCAUCAUCACAUCCGUCCGGCAUACUCUCACACCUCCUCGCUGGUAAACUAGUCCACCCGAAAUAAUAGUUUUAUCUUUCUCAAACCUUUAUGGUGGAAUGCUUCGAUUUUCUUAUUGUCAGAUCACUUUUCACUCAACUUACCUUUUCAUUUCUAGUAUAUAUUUGCUGACACUACAAACAAUGUCCUACUCAUUUCAAAAGAUGACUGUAAAACCCUUACGUCUGUUUCGCUCAGCUUCAAACCAUCGGAUAUAACAUUUCAUAAUUCGAAGGACAAUGGACUUCUGGCAUAUGAUGAUGAAACACAAACGGUU
Non-coding RNA from Paramuricea clavata, 340 nucleotides. Lineage: Eukaryota; Metazoa; Cnidaria; Anthozoa; Malacalcyonacea; Plexauridae. The record is from the annotation of a GenBank genome assembly.